RNAcentral lists this microRNA (24 nucleotides) under Oryza sativa (Asian cultivated rice). Its description in RNAcentral is "osa-miR1869". RNAcentral also lists the same sequence under 1 other name. The record is from miRBase by way of RNAcentral. Lineage: Eukaryota; Viridiplantae; Streptophyta; Magnoliopsida; Poales; Poaceae.
UGAGAACAAUAGGCAUGGGAGGUA